CGGGACACGUGGUAUCCUGUCUGAAUAUGGGGGGACCAUCCUCCAAGGCUAAAUACUCCUGACUGACCGAUAGUGAACCAGUACCGUGAGGGAAAGGCGAAAAGAACCCCGGCGAGGGGAGUGAAAAAGAACCUGAAACCGUGUACGUACAAGCAGUGGGAGCACGCUUAGGCGUGUGACUGCGUACCUUUUGUAUAAUGGGUCAGCGACUUAUAUUCUGUAGCAAGGUUAACCGAAUAGGGGAGCCGAAGGGAAACCGAGUCUUAACUGGGCGUUAAGUUGCAGGGUAUAGACCCGAAACCCGGUGAUCUAGCCAUGGGCAGGUUGAAGGUUGGGUAACACUAACUGGAGGACCGAACCGACUAAUGUUGAAAAAUUAGCGGAUGACUUGUGGCUGGGGGUGAAAGGCCAAUCAAACCGGGAGAUAGCUGGUUCUCCCCGAAAGCUAUUUAGGUAGCGCCUCGUGAAUUCAUCUCCGGGGGUAGAGCACUGUUUCGGCAAGGGGGUCAUCCCGACUUACCAACCCGAUGCAAACUGCGAAUACCGGAGAAUGUUAUCACGGGAGACACACGGCGGGUGCUAACGUCCGUCGUGAAGAGGGAAACAACCCAGACCGCCAGCUAAGGUCCCAAAGUCAUGGUUAAGUGGGAAACGAUGUGGGAAGGCCCAGACAGCCAGGAUGUUGGCUUAGAAGCAGCCAUCAUUUAAAGAAAGCGUAAUAGCUCACUGGUCGAGUCGGCCUGCGCGGAAGAUGUAACGGGGCUAAACCAUGCACCGAAGCUGCGGCAGCGACGCUUAUGCGUUGUUGGGU
RNAcentral lists this ribosomal RNA (811 nucleotides) under Escherichia coli. Its description in RNAcentral is "partial 23S ribosomal RNA". It matches the Rfam family "Bacterial large subunit ribosomal RNA", at positions 418 to 1229 of the family's 2925-position model. Lineage: Bacteria; Pseudomonadati; Pseudomonadota; Gammaproteobacteria; Enterobacterales; Enterobacteriaceae. The record is from RNAcentral.